CGGAGUGGGCGAGACGGUCGCCGCUCCUUCCCGCGAGGGAGGAGGGGAGGAAAGUCCGGACUCCGAAGGGCAGGAUGGUCGCUAACCGCGACCCCGGGCGACCGGGGGAAAGUGCCACAGAAAACACACCGCCCUCCAGGGCAGGCGCAGCCUCCCCGGGGAGCAAGGGUGAAAUGGCGAGGUAAGAGCUCACCGCCCCGUCAGCAAUGACGGGGGCAAGGCAAACCCCAUCCGGAGCAAGGCCAAACGAGCCCCGUUUUGGGACUGCCCGUCCCAGGGGGCGGGUCGGCCGCUCGAGCCCCGGGGCAACCCGGGGCCUAGUCAAAUGACCGUCGCCCGUUUCGGCGGGAACAGGAUCCGGCUUACGUCCCGCUCCGGCCG
Candidatus Aminicenantes bacterium RBG_13_62_12 is the source of this 381-nucleotide non-coding RNA. The record is from Rfam. Lineage: Bacteria; Candidatus Aminicenantota.